UCACUGGGUGCAUGAUGAUUGU
This 22-nucleotide microRNA is filed under the name Bombyx mori (domestic silkworm). RNAcentral's name for it is "bmo-miR-2733a-5p". The record is from miRBase by way of RNAcentral. Lineage: Eukaryota; Metazoa; Arthropoda; Insecta; Lepidoptera; Bombycidae.